Molecule: unclassified non-coding RNA, 20 nt
Filed under: Mus musculus (house mouse)
Lineage: Eukaryota; Metazoa; Chordata; Mammalia; Rodentia; Muridae
Description: oocyte_clustered_small_RNA12181
Source: RNAcentral
GACGCGUGCCCAGAACUGUU